GACGAACGCUGGCGGCGUGCCUAAUACAUGCAAGUUGAGCGCUGAAGGUUGGUACUUGUACCAACUGGAUGAGCAGCGAACGGGUGAGUAACGCGUGGGGAAUCUGCCUUCGAGCGGGGGACAACAUUUGGAAACGAAUGCUAAUACCGCAUAAAAACUUUAAACACAAGUUUUAAGUUUGAAAGAUGCAAUUGCAUCACUCAAAGAUGAUCCCGCGUUGUAUUAGCUAGUUGGUGAGGUAAAGGCUCACCAAGGCGAUGAUACAUAGCCGACCUGAGAGGGUGAUCGGCCACAGUGGGACUGAGACACGGCCCAAACUCCUACGGGAGGCAGCAGUAGGGAAUCUUCGGCAAUGGACGAAAGUCUGACCGAGCAACGCCGCGUGAGUGAAGAAGGUUUUCGGAUCGUAAAACUCUGUUGGUAGAGAAGAACGUUGGUGAGAGUGGAAAGAUCAUCAAGUGACGGUAACUACCCAGAAAGGGACGGCUAACUACGUG
RNAcentral lists this ribosomal RNA (497 nucleotides) under uncultured bacterium. RNAcentral describes it as "partial 16S ribosomal RNA". It matches the Rfam family "Bacterial small subunit ribosomal RNA", at positions 28 to 507 of the family's 1533-position model. The record is from RNAcentral.